CUCCUACGGGAGGCAGCAGUGGGGAAUAUUGGACAAUGGGGGAAACCCUGAUCCAUCGAUGCCGCGUGAGUGAUGAAGGCCUUAGGGUUGUAAAGCUCUUUUGACAGGGACGAUUAUGACGGUACCUGUAGAAUAAGCACCGGCUAACUCUGUGCCAGCAGCCGCGGUAAUACAGAGGGUGCUAGCGUUGUUCGGAAUUACUGGGCGUAAAGGGCGUGUAGGCGGUUGCGUAAGUCAGAUGUUAAAGACUCGGGCUUAACCUGGGGGAUGCGUUUGAUACUGCGUGACUAGAGUGCAGGAGAGGAGAGUGGAAUUCCCGGUGUAGAGGUGAAAUGCGUAGAUAUCAGGAGGAACACCGGUGGCGAAGGCGGCCUGCUGGACUGUGACUGACACUGAGGCUCGAAAGCGUGGGGAGCAAACAGGAUUAGAUACCCUGGUAGUCCACACUGUAAACGAUGGAUACUAGGUGUAGGGGACGAUAUGUCUUCUGUGCCGAAAGCAAACGCAAUAAGUAUCCCACCUGGGGAGUACGACCGCAAGGUUGAAACUCAAAGGAAUUGACGGGGGCCCGCACAAGCAGUGGAGUAUGUGGUUUAAUUCGAAGCAACGCGAAGAACCUUACCAGGCCUUGACAUCCAAUGAACUUUCCAGAGAUGGAUUGGUGCCUUCGGGAACAUUGAGACAGGUGCUGCAUGGCUGUCGUCAGCUCGUGUUGUGAAAUGUUGGGUUAAGUCCCGCAACGAGCGCAACCCUUAUCCUUUGUUGCCAGCGGUCCGGCCGGGAACUCAAAGGAGACUGCCAGUGAUAAACCGGAGGAAGGUGGGGAUGACGUCAAGUCAUCAUGGCCCUUACGAGUAGGGCUACACACGUGCUACAAUGGCGUAUACAAAGAGAAGCGAACUCGCGAGAGCAAGCGGACCUCAUAAAGUACGUCGUAGUCCGGGUCGGAGUCUGCAACUCGACUCCGUGAAGUCGGAAUCGCUAGUAAUCGUAGAUCAGAAUGCUACGGUGAAUACGUUCCCGGGCCUUGUACACACCGCCCGU
This 1044-nucleotide ribosomal RNA is filed under the name uncultured Gammaproteobacteria bacterium. Its description in RNAcentral is "bacterial SSU rRNA". It matches the Rfam family "Bacterial small subunit ribosomal RNA", at positions 336 to 1397 of the family's 1533-position model. Lineage: Bacteria; Pseudomonadati; Pseudomonadota; Gammaproteobacteria. The record is from RNAcentral.